RNAcentral lists this ribosomal RNA (468 nucleotides) under uncultured bacterium. RNAcentral describes it as "partial 16S ribosomal RNA". It matches the Rfam family "Bacterial small subunit ribosomal RNA", at positions 28 to 507 of the family's 1533-position model. The record is from RNAcentral.
GACGAACGCUGGCGGUGUGCUUAACACAUGCAAGUCGAACGGCAAGGCCCUGAUUUUUUGCUCUUCUCGAUUGGCGAUCGCGUGCGUAACACGUGUGUAUCGUGCUCUUCUUUUUCGUUUAACGUCACGUAACUAGACUUACUAUCGUAUCGCAUCCCCCCUUCCAUUGAAGGCGUGGGAUCGUUUCGGCGGUUGGGGAUGGACUCGCGGCUUAUCAGCUUGUUGGUGGGGUAGUGGCUUACCAAGGCUUUGACGGGUAGCCGGCCUGAGAGGGUGACCGGCCACAUUGGGACUGAGAUACGGCCCAGACUCCUACGGGAGGCAGAAGUGGGGAAUAUUGCACAAUGGGCGGAAGCCUGAUGCAGCAACGCCGCGUGCGGGAUGACGGCCUUCGGGUUGUAAACCGCUUUCGCCUGUGACGAAGCGUGAGUGACGGUAAUGGGUAAAGAAGCACCGGCUAACUACGUG